RNAcentral lists this ribosomal RNA (2905 nucleotides) under Escherichia coli. Its description in RNAcentral is "23S ribosomal RNA". It matches the Rfam family "Bacterial large subunit ribosomal RNA". Lineage: Bacteria; Pseudomonadati; Pseudomonadota; Gammaproteobacteria; Enterobacterales; Enterobacteriaceae. The record is from RNAcentral.
GGUUAAGCGACUAAGCGUACACGGUGGAUGCCCCGGCAGUCAGAGGCGAUGAAGGACGUGCUAAUCUGCGAUAAGCGUCGGUAAGGUGAUAUGAACCGUUAUAACCGGCGAUUUCCGAAUGGGGAAACCCAGUGUGAUUCGUCACACUAUCAUUAACUGAAUCCAUAGGUUAAUGAGGCGAACCGGGGGAACUGAAACAUCUAAGUACCCCGAGGAAAAGAAAUCAACCGAGAUUCCCCCAGUAGCGGCGAGCGAACGGGGAGGAGCCCAGAGCCUGAAUCAGUGUGUGUGUUAGUGGAAGCGUCUGGAAAGGCGCGCGAUACAGGGUGACAGCCCCGUACACAAAAAUGCACAUGCUGUGAGCUCGAUGAGUAGGGCGGGACACGUGGUAUCCUGUCUGAAUAUGGGGGACCAUCCUCCAAGGCUAAAUACUCCUGACUGACCGAUAGUGAACCAGUACCGUGAGGGAAAGGCGAAAAGAACCCCGGCGAGGGGAGUGAAAAAGAACCUGAAACCGUGUACGUACAAGCAGUGGGAGCACAGAGCAAUCUGUGUGACUGCGUACCUUUUGUAUAAUGGGUCAGCGACUUAUAUUCUGUAGCAAGGUUAACCGAAUAGGGGAGCCGAAGGGAAACCGAGUCUUAACUGGGCGUUAAGUUGCAGGGUAUAGACCCGAAACCCGGUGAUCUAGCCAUGGGCAGGUUGAAGGUUGGGUAACACUAACUGGAGGACCGAACCGACUAAUGUUGAAAAAAUUAGCGGAUGACUUGUGGCUGGGGGGUGAAAGGCCAAUCAAACCGGGAGAUAGCUGGUUCUCCCCGAAAGCUAUUUAGGUAGCGCCUCGUGAAUUCAUCUCCGGGGUAGAGCACUGUUUCGGCAAGGGGGUCAUCCCGACUUACCAACCCGAUGCAAACUACGAAUACCGGAGAAUGUUAUCACGGGAGACACACGGCGGGUGCUAACGUCCGUCGUGAAGAGGGAAACAACCCAGACCGCCAGCUAAGGUCCCAAAGUCAUGGUUAAGUGGGAAACGAUGUGGGAAGGCCCAGACAGCCAGGAUGUUGGCUUAGAAGCAGCCAUCAUUUAAAGAAAGCGUAAUAGCUCACUGGUCGAGUCGGCCUGCGCGGAAGAUGUAACGGGGCUAAACCAUGCACCGAAGCUGCGGCAGCGACGCUGAUGCGUUGUUGGGUAGGGGAGCGUUCUGUAAGCCUGUGAAGGUGUGCUGUGAGGCAUGCUGGAGGUAUCAGAAGUGCGAAUGCUGACAUAAGUAACGAUAAAGCGGGUGAAAAGCCCGCUCGCCGGAAGACCAAGGGUUCCUGUCCAACGUUAAUCGGGGCAGGGUGAGUCGACCCCUAAGGCGAGGCCGAAAGGCGUAGUCGAUGGGAAACAGGUUAAUAUUCCUGUACUUGGUGUUACUGCGAAGGGGGGACGGAGAAGGCUAUGUUGGCUGGGCGACGGUUGUCCCGGUUUAAGCGUGUAGGCUGGUUUUCCAGGCAAAUCCGGAAAAUCAAGGCUGAGGCGUGAUGACGAGGCACUACGGUGCUGAAGCAACAAAUGCCCUGCUUCCAGGAAAAGCCUCUAAGCAUCAGGUAACAUCAAAUCGUACCCCAAACCGACACAGGUGGUCAGGUAGAGAAUACCAAGGCGCUUGAGAGAACUCGGGUGAAGGAACUAGGCAAAAUGGUGCCGUAACUUCGGGAGAAGGCACGCUGAUAUGUAGGUGAGGUCCCUCGCGGAUGGAGCUGAAAUCAGUCGAAGAUACCAGCUGGCUGCAACUGUUUAUUAAAAACACAGCACUGUGCAAACACGAAAGUGGACGUAUACGGUGUGACGCCUGCCCGGUGCCGGAAGGUUAAUUGAUGGGGUCAGCGCAAGCGAAGCUCUUGAUCGAAGCCCCGGUAAACGGCGGCCGUAACUAUAACGGUCCUAAGGUAGCGAAAUUCCUUGUCGGGUAAGUUCCGACCUGCACGAAUGGCGUAAUGAUGGCCAGGCUGUCUCCACCCGAGACUCAGUGAAAUUGAACUCGCUGUGAAGAUGCAGUGUACCCGCGGCAAGACGGAAAGACCCCGUGAACCUUUACUAUAGCUUGACACUGAACAUUGAGCCUUGAUGUGUAGGAUAGGUGGGAGGCUUUGAAGUGUGGACGCCAGUCUGCAUGGAGCCGGCCUUGAAAUACCACCCUUUAAUGUUUGAUGUUCUAACGUUGGCCCCUGAUCGGGGUUGCGGACAGUGUCUGGUGGGUAGUUUGACUGGGGCGGUCUCCUCCUAAAGAGUAACGGAGGAGCACGAAGGUUGGCUAAUCCUGGUCGGACAUCAGGAGGUUAGUGCAAUGGCAUAAGCCAGCUUGACUGCGAGCGUGACGGCGCGAGCAGGUGCGAAAGCAGGUCAUAGUGAUCCGGUGGUUCUGAAUGGAAGGGCCAUCGCUCAACGGAUAAAAGGUACUCCGGGGAUAACAGGCUGAUACCGCCCAAGAGUUCAUAUCGACGGCGGUGUUUGGCACCUCGAUGUCGGCUCAUCACAUCCUGGGGCUGAAGUAGGUCCCAAGGGUAUGGCUGUUCGCCAUUUAAAGUGGUACGCGAGCUGGGUUUAGAACGUCGUGAGACAGUUCGGUCCCUAUUCUGCCGUGGGCGCUGGAGAACUGAGGGGGCUGCUCCUAGUACGAGAGGACCGGAGUGGACGCAUCACUGGUGUUCGGGUUGUCAUGCCAAUGGCACUGCCCGUAGCUAAAUGCGGAAGAGAUAAGUGCUGAAAGCAUCUAAGCACGAAACUUGCCCCGAGAUGAGUUCUCCCUGACUCCUUGAGAGUCCUGAAGGAACGUUGAAGACGACGACGUUGAUAGGCCGGGUGUGUAAGCGCAGCGAUGCGUUGAGCUAACCGGUACUAAUGAACCGUGAGGCUUAACCUU